UUCCUGAUGACUCAGGCAGUAAAGAAUCUGUCUGCAAUGCAGGAGACCUGGGUUCAAUCCCUGGUCUGGAAG
RNAcentral lists this transfer RNA (72 nucleotides) under Ovis aries (sheep). It matches the Rfam family "tRNA". Rfam says of the family: Transfer RNA (tRNA) molecules are approximately 80 nucleotides in length. Their secondary structure includes four short double-helical elements and three loops (D, anti-codon, and T loops). Lineage: Eukaryota; Metazoa; Chordata; Mammalia; Artiodactyla; Bovidae. The record is from Rfam by way of RNAcentral.